UUUGUCUGGCAGAUGCAAAUACUGGCGUUUAUGACUCAGCCACGAAGACCUAUGAACUUCUAGAUGCCAGCCAGAGCGAUAAGAACACGUAUGCAUCAUAAGCCAAACACCAACCAUCACAGAGUGCACGCUUGUAUGAGAAUACUCGUAGCGAUGACGGU
This is a long non-coding RNA of Dreissena polymorpha, 161 nucleotides long. RefSeq lists it as uncharacterized. Lineage: Eukaryota; Metazoa; Mollusca; Bivalvia; Myida; Dreissenidae. The record is from RefSeq and is a predicted model, not a curated record. The transcript is spliced from 3 exons.